UCUGUAGCUCAGUCGGUAGAGCAGAGGACUGAAAAUCCUCGUGUCGUUGGUUCGAUUCCGACCGGA
RNAcentral lists this transfer RNA (66 nucleotides) under [Eubacterium] siraeum. It matches the Rfam family "tRNA". Rfam says of the family: Transfer RNA (tRNA) molecules are approximately 80 nucleotides in length. The record is from RNAcentral. RNAcentral also lists the same sequence under 7 other names. Lineage: Bacteria; Bacillati; Bacillota; Clostridia; Eubacteriales; Oscillospiraceae.